CAGGUGCGGAAUAGGACAGCUUCUUUCCCGUGGCGCGAGAGGAGCGACGGAGCCGCUGCUGGAGGGUCGCGUGGGGAGGAAAGAUCUUCAGAGGAAGAAUACAUCCUUCUCUACAGGAUCCUCUUGCUCCAACAGAACCACACCUGAUACUUCAGGAGGACUGCAGCCACAUUUCUAAUUGGACUGCUGCCAACACCCUGACCCACAGGGUGUCAGCCUUCCCCAAGAAAAUGCCUGGGAAAGUCUGUGCCUGCUCUCUAUAGCCAGAAAGCUGCUGCCAUACAUGGACUCUCACUACCAAGAAGACCAGAAGAGGACCAAUGGGGACACCAUUGGGAUCCAGGGGGUGGUGAUAUUUUCUACUCAAUCUGUCAUCUCUGUCACUCUCUUUCUGUCCCCCACUAUUCUCUUAUUUCUGUCUCUCACACUCUCCCCUCUCCCCCUCAUAUUCACCGUUAAAUAAAAUUGAUAC
Molecule: long non-coding RNA, 472 nt
Organism: Melospiza georgiana
Lineage: Eukaryota; Metazoa; Chordata; Aves; Passeriformes; Passerellidae
Exons: 4
Source: RefSeq, a predicted model, not a curated record